Sinocyclocheilus rhinocerous is the source of this 86-nucleotide long non-coding RNA. RefSeq lists it as uncharacterized. The record is from RefSeq and is a predicted model, not a curated record. NCBI's taxonomy places the organism in Eukaryota, Metazoa, Chordata, Actinopteri, Cypriniformes, Cyprinidae. The transcript is spliced from 3 exons.
CAAUUUAAUGCCCUUUUUACUUACUUAGCCAUUGGUCCUUACCAAAGUCUAGACUUUGACUUUUAAAUGUUACCUCUUCCCACAAU